AAUUUAUGAUUUAUGAAUAUGCCUGUUAACAAAUCACCUAUGAUUAAUACAUGUGGAGGCAUAUCUUCCCCUUAUCAUGAAGAGCUCUGGAAAUUAAAUUUUCAACAUUUAAGUGGAGAAAGGGGUCAUAAAUCAAGAUUAUUUCCUUGGGAUAAAGUUUCUACAAUGAGUGCAAGAGCAAUUGAAAAGAACUUUCACAAAGACUUUACAGUCACAAAUAUUAUACUUUUUCUAGUUGUUUUCUGUGCUAUCCUUGUGCCAAUACCAUAGUGAUCCAUAUUGUAAAAAAAAGUAGCAGGAAAAGUUGUUAUCCACCUAGAAUCCUACAGAGAAGAAAAUAAAAUUCAAAAUAUAUCAU
RNAcentral lists this small RNA (358 nucleotides) under Pan troglodytes (chimpanzee). Its description in RNAcentral is "processed transcript". The record is from RNAcentral. Lineage: Eukaryota; Metazoa; Chordata; Mammalia; Primates; Hominidae.